CCUACGGGCGGCAGCAGUGAGGAAUAUUGGUCAAUGGGCGCAAGCCUGAACCAGCCAAGUAGCGUGAAGGAUGACUGCCCUAUGGGUUGUAAACUUCUUUUAUAAGGGAAUAAAGUGAGGCAAGUGUACUUUUUUGCAUGUACUUUAUGAAUAAGGAUAGGCUAACUCCGUGCCAGCAGCCGCGGUAAUACGGAGGAUCCGAGCGUUAGCCGGAUUUAUUGGGUUUAAAGGGAGCGUUGGUGGGUUGUUAAGUCAGUUGUGAAAGUUUGCGGCUCAACCGGAAAAUUGCAGUGGAUACUGGCAUUCUUGAGUACAGUAGAGGUAGGCGGAAUUCGUGGUGUAGCGGUGAAAUGCUUAGAUAUCACGAAGAACUCCGAUUGCGAAGGCAGCCUGCUAAACUGUCACUGACGCUGAGGCUCGAAAGUGUGGGUAUCAAACAGGAUUAGAUACCCGAGUAGUC
RNAcentral lists this ribosomal RNA (460 nucleotides) under uncultured bacterium. Its description in RNAcentral is "partial 16S ribosomal RNA". It matches the Rfam family "Bacterial small subunit ribosomal RNA", at positions 338 to 795 of the family's 1533-position model. The record is from RNAcentral.